This 253-nucleotide ribosomal RNA is filed under the name uncultured bacterium. Its description in RNAcentral is "partial 16S ribosomal RNA". It matches the Rfam family "Bacterial small subunit ribosomal RNA", at positions 524 to 776 of the family's 1533-position model. The record is from RNAcentral.
UACGUAGGGGCCGAGCGUUGUCCGGAUUCAUUGGGCGUAAAGAGCGUGUAGGCGGCUUGUCGCGUCGUUCGUGAAAACCUGCAGCUCAACUGCAGGCUUGCGGUCGAUACGGGCAGGCUAGAGUUCGGUAGGGGAGACUGGAAUUCCUGGUGUAGCGGUGAAAUGCGCAGAUAUCAGGAGGAACACCGGUGGCGAAGGCGGGUCUCUGGGCCGAUACUGACGCUGAGGAGCGAAAGCGUGGGGAGCGAACAGG